This 2201-nucleotide long non-coding RNA is filed under the name Homo sapiens (human). RNAcentral describes it as "HSALNT0318399". The record is from RNAcentral. Lineage: Eukaryota; Metazoa; Chordata; Mammalia; Primates; Hominidae.
CGGAGGCCUGCGGCAGAGUCGCCUAAGCAUUUGAAUGGACCUCAGCCCUAGGACCCUGGCGCCCUCGGAAACCGGAUCUGAGGUCCGGAUCACUAACGUUCAGAGAUGCAAGGGAAGCCGAGAAGUUGCCGAAAGGGCCUGAGAGCUGCUUCUCCUUCUCCCUGGGCAGCAAACCUCCAAGCCUGUGCGGGCCAAUCUUUGCAUCCUGGUAACCAGCGCUUUAUUUAGCGCCUAAUCGCUUUCCUGUCCUGCAAUGGAGACUGAGGGCAGAGGAGAGUGCAGCUUAUCCAAGAUCUCAAGGCUAGUAAUUGGUGAGAAAAUUCUGCACAGAACCAUUCCCAGUGGUGAGACUGUUUUUGUCCUUCAGCCCGGGAAAGGCAGACCUGGCUCCCUCCUUUUAUUUGCAAGCCUCAAAACCAUCAAGACAGGCAAAGGAAUACAUCACAGAAACCUCAGAUACCGCCUCUGUAAAUAGGGUUAAAGAUGCCCCACUCCAAAAAUGGUUGCAAGCUCAACACGGCUCCUUUCCAGACACUCGAAGGGCGCGGACCUUCGCUGAGACGCCACCCACGCAAGUGGAGGAAGCACUUGCGCCACUGCUGAGCGGUUGGAAGGGGAACACUGCAGCGAUGACCCACGAGUGUCAACGAGACCAGGUGCCCAUUAGGGAAACAGAGAUGGAGAAGAAAUCACGCGCCAAGGUCUGAAAUUCGGCGUGGCUCUCACUCGACAUCUCCCCAUUCUCGCCACCCGUGCACCCGCCUGCAGCGGCGCACCGGGCUCGGUGCUGCACCUGCCUCCUGGCGCCUGCGCCACUGCCCCCGCGCGGGUCCCACCGCGCAGGACGCCCCUUCCUGCUUCCGACGUCUGCUGUGGAUCACACGCGGUCGCUGCCAAAGCCUCCAUUUCGGUUCUGACCCAGUGACUUUGGGGACGCCCAGGGAGGAGAUGUGGAGAGGAUGUGGCCAAGGUGAACCAGCCAGUGUAAGUGCUAAUGCUUCUGGCUUCUCGGUAACACCUACCCUGCCCCACCACCCAAAUCGGGCCUUGAUCAAAAAAGAAGCGUCUUGACAAUACAUUUUUAGACAUAAAUAAGUUGAAGGUGCCCACGGAGGGAGGUUGAAAACAUUUGAUUAUCAGGACAGAGUAGAAGCCUGUUUGGCUCAUCCUUUUGGCCAGCUCUAAAGCAGCAGUGGACACUUCUUUGCGAUUUUGCAAGGAUGUUUGUGAAUGUACUUUGUAACUCCUAGAAAAUAGGCAAAAAACCGUGAGUGGAUGUAGUCGCACCGCUGGCACCUGUAAGAACGCGCCCUAAAGCUGUGGAACUGCUAUUCAGGUUCCAGGCACACGUCUCAAGCCUCAAACCUCCAAGAGUUGCCUUAGCUGCUCAUUUUACUGGUAAGAAGACGGAGGUCAAGCCUGAAGAUAGUGGCUCUGCUGUUUUCUUAGGCUGCUUGAAGCUUUAGAUAAGCAGGAAAAUUCCAUCAAAGAAAUCCCUGUAUGUAAAUUGGGAGAAAAAGAUAUGAUGAAUAUUAAUGCAGAGGCCUCUGAACAAAUGGAACCUCCAUUUUCACAUCCAGCACAGGAUCAUUUGCAGCCAGACAACCUGAGAGUCAACCCCAACUCUACCUUUUACUAAUUGCAUGAUAUUGGGCCUCAGUUUGCUCAUCUGUAAAUUGGGUGCAGUGAUAGAAUCUAUCCCACAGGGUUUUGCUGAGCAUUAAAUGAGUUUAAACUUGUAGAUGGCUUAGAAUAAUGCCUGGCAUGUAGCAAGUACGCAGUUACUGGCGCCUGGUGUAUAUAGUAAGUACUCGAUAUACAUUAACUAUUUUUCAAAGACACCACAGCUCACCUGGGAAGGAAUCUCAGGUAUUUGCCUGAGAUUCAAGCAAACAAAUAUGGAAGCUACCAAAGGCUCAUGAAGCCUGAAGGAUCCUUGCAGAGAGAUGUUCUAAAUGUUGCCUAGAAAGGCAGUUUGGAGGGAGGCCUCUCCAGUCAGAGGUCUGGAUGCUAAGUUUAGCUCUGCCACAUAUUAGCCAGGUAAUUUUGAAGUAAUAAACAAUCUCUUUGUGCCUCCAUUUCUUCUUGUGUAAAAUGAGGGGCUGUUGUGAAGAUUAAAUAAAUACAUGUAAAGCAUUUAAAGCCAGACCUGGCAGAAAGGGUGCUUUAUGUUUGCUUUAAAAAUAUAUAUGUACAACAUU